GCAAGUCGAGCGAACAGAUAAGGAGCUUGCUCCUUUGACGUUAGCGGCGGACGGGUGAGUAACACGUGGGUAACCUACCUAUAAGACUGGGAUAACUUCGGGAAACCGGAGCUAAUACCGGAUAACAUUUGGAACCGCAUGGUUCUAAAGUGAAAGAUGGUUUUGCUAUCACUUAUAGAUGGACCCGCGCCGUAUUAGCUAGUUGGUAAGGUAACGGCUUACCAAGGCGACGAUACGUAGCCGACCUGAGAGGGUGAUCGGCCACACUGGAACUGAGACACGGUCCAGACUCCUACGGGAGGCAGCAGUAGGGAAUCUUCCGCAAUGGGCGAAAGCCUGACGGAGCAACGCCGCGUGAGUGAUGAAGGGUUUCGGCUCGUAAAACUCUGUUAUUAGGGAAGAACAAAUGUGUAAGUAACUGUGCACGUCUUGACGGUACCUAAUCAGAAAGCCACGGCUAACUACGUGCCAGCAGCCGCGGUAAUACGUAGGUGGCAAGCGUUAUCCGGAAUUAUUGGGCGUAAAGCGCGCGUAGGCGGUUUCUUAAGUCUGAUGUGAAAGCCCACGGCUCAACCGUGGAGGGUCAUUGGAAACUGGGAAACUUGAGUGCAGAAGAGGAAAGUGGAAUUCCAUGUGUAGCGGUGAAAUGCGCAGAGAUAUGGAGGAACACCAGUGGCGAAGGCGACUUUCUGGUCUGUAACUGACGCUGAUGUGCGAAAGCGUGGGGAUCAAACAGGAUUAGAUACCCUGGUAGUCCACGCCGUAAACGAUGAGUGCUAAGUGUUAGGGGGUUUCCGCCCCUUAGUGCUGCAGCUAACGCAUUAAGCACUCCGCCUGGGGAGUACGACCGCAAGGUUGAAACUCAAAGGAAUUGACGGGGACCCGCACAAGCGGUGGAGCAUGUGGUUUAAUUCGAAGCAACGCGAAGAACCUUACCAAAUCUUGACAUCCUUUGAAAACUCUAGAGAUAGAGCUUUCCCCUUCGGGGGACAAAGUGACAGGUGGUGCAUGGUUGUCGUCAGCUCGUGUCGUGAGAUGUUGGGUUAAGUCCCGCAACGAGCGCAACCCUUAAGCUUAGUUGCCAUCAUUAAGUUGGGCACUCUAGGUUGACUGCCGGUGACAAACCGGAGGAAGGUGGGGAUGACGUCAAAUCAUCAUGCCCCUUAUGAUUUGGGCUACACACGUGCUACAAUGGACAAUACAAAGGGCAGCUAAACCGCGAGGUCAUGCAAAUCCCAUAAAGUUGUUCUCAGUUCGGAUUGUAGUCUGCAACUCGACUACAUGAAGCUGGAAUCGCUAGUAAUCGUAGAUCAGCAUGCUACGGUGAAUACGUUCCCGGGUCUUGUACACACCGCCCGUCACACCACGAGAGUUUGUAACACCCGAAGCCGGUGGAGUAACCAUUUAUGGAGCUAGCCGUCGAA
RNAcentral lists this ribosomal RNA (1424 nucleotides) under Staphylococcus pseudoxylosus. RNAcentral's name for it is "bacterial SSU rRNA". It matches the Rfam family "Bacterial small subunit ribosomal RNA". Lineage: Bacteria; Bacillati; Bacillota; Bacilli; Caryophanales; Staphylococcaceae. The record is from RNAcentral.